Molecule: non-coding RNA, 232 nt
Organism: Pelobates cultripes (western spadefoot toad)
Lineage: Eukaryota; Metazoa; Chordata; Amphibia; Anura; Pelobatidae
Source: the annotation of a GenBank genome assembly
CUGCCAAAAACACUCAUGUUUUUAAGAUACAUGCUAGCAAACCAUUUUUCUUUUACUAAGAUAGCAUGUACCAAAGCAUUAUCACGGCUUCAAAGUGUGCGCUUUGAGAUAUUCUGGAGAGUUUUACUGAUUCUUAGACUGUCUAAGAUUUUUCUCUUUACUGUUACAGGUAAGAUUCAUCUGUAGGAAAAGGUUACUGAUUGCACAAGGUUUGAAUUCCUGUUGGUAAUUA